Molecule: ribosomal RNA, 474 nt
Filed under: uncultured bacterium
Lineage: Bacteria
Description: bacterial SSU rRNA
Rfam family: Bacterial small subunit ribosomal RNA
Source: RNAcentral
GAUGAACGCUGGCGGCGUGCUUAACACAUGCAAGUCGAACGAAGCACCUUGAUUUGAUUCUUCGGAUGAAGAUCUUGGUGACUGAGUGGCGGACGGGUGAGUAACGCGUGGGUAACCUGCCUCAUACAGGGGGAUAACAGUUAGAAAUGACUGCUAAUACCGCAUAAGACCACAGCACCGCAUGGUGCAGGGGUAAAAACUCCGGUGGUAUGAGAUGGACCCGCGUCUGAUUAGGUAGUUGGUGGGGUAACGGCCUACCAAGCCGACGAUCAGUAGCCGACCUGAGAGGGUGACCGGCCACAUUGGGACUGAGACACGGCCCAAACUCCUACGGGAGGCAGCAGUGGGGAAUAUUGCACAAUGGGGGAAACCCUGAUGCAGCGACGCCGCGUGAGCGAUGAAGUAUUUCGGUAUGUAAAGCUCUAUCAGCAGGGAAGAAAAUGACGGUACCUGACUAAGAAGCACCGGCUAAAU